Molecule: transfer RNA, 61 nt
Filed under: Eisenia nordenskioldi pallida
Lineage: Eukaryota; Metazoa; Annelida; Clitellata; Crassiclitellata; Lumbricidae
Description: tRNA-Trp
Source: RNAcentral
AAGACUUUAAGUUAAAUAAACUAAAAACCUUCAAAGUUUUAAUUGGGUCACCCAAGUCUUG